AACGAACGCUGGCGGCAUGCCUAACACAUGCAAGUCGAACGAGACCUUCGGGUCUAGUGGCGCACGGGUGCGUCACGCGUGGGAACCUGCCCUUAGGUUCGGACUACCUCCCCGAAUGGGGUGCUAAUACCGGAUAAUGUCUUCGGCCCAAAGAUUUAUCGCCUUUGGAUGGGCCAGCGUUGGAUUAGCUUGUUGGUAGGGUAAAAGCCUACCACGGCGACGAUGCAUAGCUGGUCUGUGAGGAUGAUCAGCCACACUGAGAUUGAGACACGGCCCAGACUCCUACGGGAGGCAGCAGAGGGGAAUAUUGGACAAUGGGCUAAGGCCUGAUGCAGCAAGGACGCGAGAGUGAUGAUGGCCUUAGGGUUGUAAAGCUCUUUUACCCGGGAUGAUAAUGACAGUACCGAGAGAAUAAGCUCCGGCUAACUCCGUG
This 433-nucleotide ribosomal RNA is filed under the name uncultured bacterium. Its description in RNAcentral is "partial 16S ribosomal RNA". It matches the Rfam family "Bacterial small subunit ribosomal RNA", at positions 29 to 507 of the family's 1533-position model. The record is from RNAcentral.